Molecule: RNA transcript, 3158 nt
Organism: Mus musculus (house mouse)
Lineage: Eukaryota; Metazoa; Chordata; Mammalia; Rodentia; Muridae
Gene: Lin9
Gene name: lin-9 DREAM MuvB core complex component
Exons: 15
Source: RefSeq, marked validated
CUCGGCGAGGCGUCCCCUGUCCUCCUCCGGGCCCGGCCCGGGGUGCGGGCGAGGCCCCGAGGCCCCCUCCCGCCGGGCUCGGGCGGAGCCGGACGGCCUGGCGGGAGCAGGCGCCGCGGGCCGCGAGCUCCUCAUUCGAACCUCCCUCGCAGACAGUCUCCGCCCCACAAUGCACCGGGGCGGGCAGCCUUUGAAAAAGCGGCGCGGCUCGUUCAAGAUGGCGGAGCUCGACCAGUUGCCUGACGAGAGCUCUUCAGCAAAAGCCCUUGUCAGUUUAAAAGAGGGAAGUUUAUCUAACACAUGGAAUGAAAAGUACAGUUCUUUACAGAAAACUCCUGUUUGGAAAGGCAGGAAUGCGGGCCCUGCUGUAGAAAUGCCUUUCAGAAAUUCAAAAAGAAGUCGACUCUUUUCUGAUGAAGAUGACAGACAAAUAAAUACAAAGUCACCUAAAAGAAACCAGAGAGUGGCAAUGAUCCCACAGAAAUUUACAGCAACGAUGUCAACACCAGAUAAGAAAGCAUCACAGAAGAUUGGUUUUCGAUUACGGAACCUACUCAAGCUUCCCAAAGCACAUAAGUGGUGCAUAUAUGAGUGGUUCUACUCAAACAUAGACAAGCCACUUUUUGAAGGAGAUAAUGACUUUUGUGUAUGCCUAAAGGAAUCCUUUCCUAAUUUGAAAACAAGAAAAUUAACAAGAGUAGAAUGGGGAAAAAUCAGGAGACUGAUGGGAAAACCUCGGAGAUGUUCUUCUGCAUUUUUUGAGGAAGAGAGAUCAGCCUUAAAACAGAAGCGGCAGAAAAUCAGGCUGUUACAACAAAGGAAAGUUGCAGAUGUUUCACAGUUCAAAGAUCUCCCCGAUGAAAUCCCUCUACCCCUGGUUAUUGGAACCAAAGUUACAGCGCGGUUACGUGGCAUUCACGAUGGCCUGUUUACUGGUCAGAUAGAUGCAGUGGACACUCUUAAUGCUACUUACAGAGUAACUUUCGAUAGGACAGGCCUUGGGACUCACACCAUUCCUGACUAUGAAGUUCUUUAAUGAGCCUCAUGAGACAAUGCCAAUCUCUGCCUUUGGACAAAAACAGCGGCCUUCUCGGUUUUUUAUGACCCCCCCACGGUUACAUUAUACCCCUCCUCUCCAGUCACCAAUUACAGAUGGCGAUCCUUUACUGGGGCAGUCACCUUGGAGAAGUAAAGUUUCUGGCUCUGACACGGAGACGUUAGGAGGCUUUCCAGUGGAAUUCCUUAUCCAGGUGACUAAGUUAUCAAAAAUUCUCAUGAUUAAAAAAGAGCAUAUAAAGAAAUUAAGGGAGAUGAACACAGAAGCAGAAAAGCUGAAAUCCUAUUCCAUGCCCAUUGGCAUUGAGUUUCAGCGGAGAUACGCAACGAUCGUCCUGGAGCUUGAGCAGCUGAACAAGGACCUGAACAAAGUUCUGCAUAAAGUUCAGCAGUAUUGCUAUGAGCUUGCACCAGACCAGGGACUCCAGCCUGCCGAUCAGCCAACAGACAUGAGACGGAGGUGUGAGGAAGAAGCCCAGGAAAUCGUCCGGCAAGCCAACUCUGCUUCCGGACAGCCCUGUGUAGAAAACGAAAAUCUGACGGACUUGAUCUCCAGGCUCACUGCGAUUUUAUUACAAAUUAAGUGUCUGGCAGAGGGAGGAGACCUGAAUUCCUUUGAAUUCAAAUCUCUCACAGAUUCAUUAAAUGACAUAAAAAACACAAUAGAUGCUUCUAAUAUCAGUUGUUUUCAGAAUAACGUAGAAAUCCAUGUUGCACAUAUCCAGAGUGGCCUGAGUCAGAUGGGAAACUUACACGCCUUUGCAGCCAACAACACGAACAGAGACUGAGCACAGGAUUCUGGUACCCAGCUGCACACAGCCAUGGUCUGAGGAGUCCUGGUCCUUAACCCAUGCUUCCAACACCAGAUAACCUAGCUGCUGGAAAACCGGAGAACUGUACAUCUCCAGAUACGGCUUUUUAAUACACUCUACUGCUUCUUCAACCAGCAUUGUGCUGACCAGCAUUUAUUUAUUGUUCUUUUAUUAUCCAGAUGCAGUAGUGUUGCUUAUAUUUCCUGUUUAUCAGCAAACAUUUUUAACCGGAAACUCUCUGAACGUACUAUCCCAUGGAGGAUAAACCACUGUUUUAUGCAUGCAUGAAUUCUGCUCAGCACAUGCAGACGACUCCUGUGACAGACAGAGAACAUGAAGAAGCACGGUCUUUCCAUGCAUGAUGGUGGGAAUCCCAUCCGAGAGUCACCGGUCCAGUGGAGUUAGUUGGCAUUAUAUCUUGGGCUGCAAAAUAGACGUCAUGAGUGUGAGAGUCCGAGUCGUAAGGAACCCGCUGGGGUACAGAUGGGAAACACGGACUUAAGUGUAUGUUUCAUAUACUGACAGUGGGACAUGGUUCUAUAGAUCAAUUAUAAUAAUAAAUAUUUUAAUUUAUCAUAAUUUAUAAAAGCUUUGUUGUUUAUCAGCAGAGGAAAUGAAGGAGCCGGAGGAACUGUACUGUGCCCCGCUGGAUCCCAGCGGGUGGACUUGGCAUGCCUUCCAUGAUUCAGGGCAAAAGUGUUAAGUGUUGAGACUUAUUUUAAAAAAGACUGAUGACACACUAUUUUCGUAUUUUUUUGUUUAUUUGCACAACUUUAAACCAGAUGACUGGUUAAAAUUGAACAGUACACAAUUUAUAAAGUGAAAAUCUUUUAUAAGGAAAGCAUAUGACAUGUGAAUACACAGGGAGGUUUGGCUUUGGUUGUUUUGUUUGGUUUUGUUUUUUCUUUUUAAGAAAAACCCUGCCUAAAAUAAUCUUGUAAAAAGUAUGUAUUUUAAAAUUUUUGUUUUAAUAUAGAAUAUUAUAAAGCCAAAAUAUAAUUGUUUUCAGAUUUGGAGUUUAAAAUAGAGCUAUAGAGGUGGUUCUGAUUCUUUGACGUCUCAUAAAAUGAGACUUUUGUAUAUUAAUGUAUAAUAAAACUGAAAUAAGAUUAUUUUCCUUGAAAUUUUUGUAUAGUUUAAAAAUGCUUCUGUGUUCUUUGUUGGUAUUGGGCCACUGCAGAUCUUAGUGCAGAGUUUAUAUUUAGCUAGACUGUUAUGUUAAUUAAGAAAUGCAUAAAUCUUUUAUUCUUAAUAUUUGUAAUUCUAAAUAAAUCAAUCUAUGAAAUUUAA